GAUGAACGCUGGCGGCGUGCCUAAUACAUGCAAGUCGAGCGAACGGACGAGAAGCUUGCUUCUCUGAUGUUAUCGGCGGACGGGUGAGUAACACGUGGAUAACCUACCUAUAAGACUGGGAUAACUUCGGGAAACCGGAGCUAAUACCGGAUAAUAUUUUGAACCGCAUGGUUCAAAAGUGAAAUACGGUCUUGCUGUCACUUAUAGAUGGAUACGCACUGCAUUAGCUAGUUGGUAAGGUAACGGCUUACCAAGGCAACGAUGCAUAGCCGACCUGAGAGGGUGAACGCCCACACUGGAAGUGAGGAACGGCCGAGACUCCUACGGGGAGCAGCAGUAGGGAAUCUUCCGGGAUGGGCGAGAGCCUAACGGAGGAAAGCCGGGUGAGUGAUGAAGGUCCUAGGAUCGUAAAGCUAUGUUAUUAGGGAAGAACAUAUGUGUAAGUACCUGUGAACAUAUUGACGGUACCUAAUCAGAAAGCCCCGGCUAACUACGUG
This 497-nucleotide ribosomal RNA is filed under the name uncultured bacterium. RNAcentral describes it as "partial 16S ribosomal RNA". It matches the Rfam family "Bacterial small subunit ribosomal RNA", at positions 28 to 507 of the family's 1533-position model. The record is from RNAcentral.